This 253-nucleotide ribosomal RNA is filed under the name uncultured bacterium. Its description in RNAcentral is "partial 16S ribosomal RNA". It matches the Rfam family "Bacterial small subunit ribosomal RNA", at positions 524 to 776 of the family's 1533-position model. The record is from RNAcentral.
UACGGGGGGGGCGAGCGUUGUUCGGAAUUAUUGGGCGUAAAGGGCGCGUAGGCGGUGUGGUAAGUCUGAUGUGAAACCUCUAGGCUCAACCUAGAGCUUGCAUCAGAAACUGCCGUGCUAGAGUGUGGGAGAGGAGAGUGGAAUUCCUGGUGUAGCGGUGAAAUGCGUAGAUAUCAGGAGGAACACCGGUGGCGAAAGCGGCUCUCUGGACCACAACUGACGCUGAGGCGCGAAAGCUAGGGGAGCAAACAGG